GAUGAAGAACGCAGCGAAACGCGAUAUGUAAUGUGAAUUGCAGAAUUCAGUGAAUCAUCGAAUCUUUGAACGCACAUGGCGCCUUCCAGUAUCCCGGGAGGCAUGCCUGUCCGAGCGUCGUUUCAACCCUCGAGCCCCCGUGGCCCGGCGUUGGGGAUCUGCCCAGGCAGUCCCCGAAAACCAGUGGCGGACCCGUUACAGGCCCUUCCCUUGCGUAGUAGCAUUCGCCUCGCAUCGGGAGCCGGCGGGCUUCCAGCCUCUAAACCCCCAUCAAGUCCGCCCCGGCGGCACCAAGGUUGACCUCGGAUCAGGUAGGAAUACCCGCUGAACUUAAGCAUAUCAAUAAGCGGAGGA
This 354-nucleotide unclassified non-coding RNA is filed under the name soil metagenome. RNAcentral's name for it is "partial contains 5.8S ribosomal RNA, internal transcribed spacer 2, and large subunit ribosomal RNA". The stretch from base 1 to 120 matches the Rfam family "5.8S ribosomal RNA", at positions 35 to 154 of the family's 154-position model. The record is from RNAcentral.